AGUGAACGCAGGCGGUAGGCCUAACACAUGCAAGUCGAACGGCAGCACAGGAGAGCUUGCCCUCUGGGUGGCGAGUGGCGGACGGGUGAGGAAUACAUCGGAAUCUACUUUUUCGUGGGGGAUAACGUAGGGAAACUUACGCUAAUACCGCAUACGACCUACGGGUGAAAGCAGGGGAUCUUCGGACCUUGCGCGAUUGAAUGAGCCGAUGUCGGAUUAGCUAGUUGGCGGGGUAAAGGCCCACCAAGGCGACGAUCCGUAGCUGGUCUGAGAGGAUGAUCAGCCACACUGGAACUGAGACACGGUCCAGACUCCUACGGGAGGCAGCAGUGGGGAAUAUUGGACAAUGGGCGCAAGCCUGAUCCAGCCAUGCCGCGUGGGUGAAGAAGGCCUUCGGGUUGUAAAGCCCUUUUGUUGGGAAAGAAAUCCAGCUGGUUAAUACCCGGUUGGGAUGACGGUACCCAAAGAAUAAGCACCGGCUAACUUCGUGCCAGCCGCCGCCGUAA
RNAcentral lists this ribosomal RNA (506 nucleotides) under uncultured bacterium. Its description in RNAcentral is "partial 16S ribosomal RNA". It matches the Rfam family "Bacterial small subunit ribosomal RNA", at positions 29 to 523 of the family's 1533-position model. The record is from RNAcentral.